CUCAGCUCCUCCACAUGGAGCCAGUAAGAACUGGAGCACAUGGAACAAACAUUUGUGCGAACAAAGACAAGGCCUUCGGGAAGUACUACUCCAAACCCACAGAGGCUCCGGAGCCGAUGGACGUGGAGAACACAGAGAGGAGCGGCUUCAUGAAGACGGAGCUAUAUCAGUGUCAGAAGUGUAAGCAGAGAAAACGUCCAGACUGCAGGACAACAUGAUGCCGAUGUCUCCUGACGACUACAAGGUUUUGGAGCAGUUCGUCGGUCCCAGAGACAUCGACACCGUGACCAGCAAUCUGAUUGGAUUUGGAGAGUUUGACGUUCAGAUGAGCGCAGACUUUCCUGACCAGAACUAAAGAUGGGUUCACUGCAGACAGGAGAUGAUCGCAGCUAAUUCUGCAUACUUAUAAUAAAAAUAUGUGAAUAAAUGUAUAUGCUGUGAUUACUGGUGAUUAUUGAUCACUUGGACAUUGUGUAUUUAAGUCUGCAAAAACAUCUUAUUGUGUGGAGCAUUCAACCUGAGCUUUUUAUUUAAGAAACUGUAUCAGUGGCUGUAGUUUUCAUCAGUGUUGUAACAGCAAUUAAACCACUGUACAACUGAGU
Lates calcarifer (barramundi perch) is the source of this 602-nucleotide long non-coding RNA. RefSeq lists it as uncharacterized. The record is from RefSeq and is a predicted model, not a curated record. The transcript is spliced from 5 exons. Lineage: Eukaryota; Metazoa; Chordata; Actinopteri; Centropomidae.